This 389-nucleotide ribosomal RNA is filed under the name uncultured bacterium. Its description in RNAcentral is "bacterial SSU rRNA". It matches the Rfam family "Bacterial small subunit ribosomal RNA", at positions 100 to 507 of the family's 1533-position model. The record is from RNAcentral.
CCGGGUGAGUAACACGUGACUAACCUACCCUCUAGUGGGGAACAACCUCGGGAAACCGGGGCUAAUACCGCAUAACAUCCGCGGGUGAAAUUCCUGCGGACCAAAGGAGCAAUUCGCUGGAGGAGGGGGUCGCGGCUGAUUAGCUAGUUGGCGGGGUAACGGCCCACCAAGGCGAUGAUCAGUAGCCGGCCUGAGAGGGCGCACGGCCACACUGGAACUGAAACACGGUCCAGACUCCUACGGGAGGCAGCAGUGGGGAAUUUUGCGCAAUGGGGGAAACCCUGACGCAGCAACGCCGCGUGGAGGAUGAAGUCCCUUGGGACGUAAACUCCUUUCGACCGGGACGAAUAAUGACGGUACCGGUGGAAGAAGCCCCGGCUAACUUCGUG